UGGGGAAUAUUGCACAAUGGGCGCAAGCCUGAUGCAGCCAUGCCGCGUGUAUGAAGAAGGCCUUCGGGUUGUAAAGUACUUUCAGUCGGGAGGAAGGUGUCAAGGUUAAUAACCUUGGCAAUUGACGUUACCGACAGAAGAAGCACCGGCUAACUCCGUGCCAGCAGCCGCGGUAAUACGGAGGGUGCAAGCGUUAAUCGGAAUUACUGGGCGUAAAGCGCACGCAGGCGGUUGAUUGAGUCAGAUGUGAAAUCCCCGGGCUUAACCCGGGAAUUGCAUCUGAUACUGGUCAGCUAGAGUCUUGUAGAGGGGGGUAGAAUUCCAUGUGUAGCGGUGAAAUGCGUAGAGAUGUGGAGGAAUACCGGUGGCGAAGGCGGCCCCCUGGAUGAAGACUGACGCUCAGGUGCGAAAGCGUGGGGAGCAAACAGG
RNAcentral lists this ribosomal RNA (429 nucleotides) under Chloroflexota bacterium. Its description in RNAcentral is "Chloroflexi bacterium partial 16S ribosomal RNA". It matches the Rfam family "Bacterial small subunit ribosomal RNA", at positions 355 to 776 of the family's 1533-position model. The record is from RNAcentral. Lineage: Bacteria; Bacillati; Chloroflexota.